This 465-nucleotide ribosomal RNA is filed under the name Vreelandella stevensii. RNAcentral describes it as "partial 16S ribosomal RNA". It matches the Rfam family "Bacterial small subunit ribosomal RNA", at positions 338 to 795 of the family's 1533-position model. The record is from RNAcentral. Lineage: Bacteria; Pseudomonadati; Pseudomonadota; Gammaproteobacteria; Oceanospirillales; Halomonadaceae.
CCUACGGGGGGCAGCAGUGGGGAAUAUUGGACAAUGGGCGAAAGCCUGAUCCAGCCAUGCCGCGUGUGUGAAGAAGGCCUUCGGGUUGUAAAGCACUUUCAGUGGGGAAGAAAGCCUUGGGGCUAAUACCCUCGAGGAAGGACAUCACCCACAGAAGAAGCACCGGCUAACUCCGUGCCAGCAGCCGCGGUAAUACGGAGGGUGCGAGCGUUAAUCGGAAUUACUGGGCGUAAAGCGCGCGUAGGCGGUCUGAUAAGCCGGUUGUGAAAGCCCCGGGCUCAACCUGGGAACGGCAUCCGGAACUGUCAGGCUAGAGUGCAGGAGAGGAGGGUAGAAUUCCCGGGGUAGCGGUGAAAUGCGUAGAGAUCGGGAGGAAUACCAGUGGCGAAGGCGGCCUUCUGGACUGACACUGACGCUGAGGUGCGAAAGCGUGGGUAGCAAACAGGAUUAGAUACCCCUGUAGUC